AGGAGGAAGAGGCACCCAAAUUCACUGUCCACUAUUUUAGUGUGCCCUGCCCCCACGCCCCCACCCCCCAGCGGAGGGGAAGGGGCUGGGAAAACGGCAGGAGGAAUCAGCAUUCGACUGCGUAAGGCCAUAUUCUGACAGACAAGUAGCACCGAGAACUGGGCCAGAGUCCCAAAUAGGAAGGGUGAAACGUGGAGCUAGGAGACACCAAGGUCACACUGGGGCUUAGGAGCUUCCAAACUAUUGGGGAGUGAGCAGGAGGAGGGAUGGCAGAAAGGUUCCAGAGAGGAAGGAUGUACAGAGGUAGUUCCCGGGUCCCGUCCUAGCCCGAAACCGGUUUUCCCGGUCCCGCUGCCUUCAGCCCCAAGGCCUCCAACCCGCUGCCCGACAAGCCUUCACAAGCAGCAGCUGGAGAAAGAGAAAGAGAACUGAGAGAAUGGAGUGGGCAAUUCUGGCUCCAAGCCCGGGGCUGCAGCUGGUUCCUUGUGGAGACCUCCAGACAUGGAGGGCUGCUGAGGGGCAGCAGAGAAGUAGGGGAGCACGCACUUUCCAGUCAAGUGACAGGCACCUGACCCAGCACCAACUGUGUCCUUCCCCCAGGAAAGGUCUUGUGGGGGCUUACGAGGAAACACGGCUAGGACCUAAGCUCCCUCCCCAGUAGAUUCAGAGUCCCAGAGACUCCAUUUCUGCCCGCUCCCCAACUCUACCCAGAUAUCCUCUAAUCCUCCCAACGCCGAAGUAGGACUGGGAUCUCGCUGGGAAUCUUUCGGAUUCACUGUCUUCCGUGGCUGCUUCGGGCUCAGACUUAGCCCUUCCAGGGCCCCGCUGUGCUACACUCAGUCCCGCACACGCCACCACCGCGGUUAGUGAGUCUCCAGGAGAGUUUCUCCCCCUCUCGCCUCCCCCCGCCCCGGCCCCCCAGGCCCUUCCUGCCCUCUACUCUACAGCGGCUUCGGCCUGCGCGCCACACGAGCGGCGGAGUGGAUGGAGACAUUUACUCAGGGAGCGCACCCGUUCUCCCACCGACCCAGCAUCUCGGCAGCCCUGGCCUCCCUCCUCCCCCCAGCAUCCGGGGGAGACUGAGCAGAUAGACUCAGCCACAGAGGGAGAGGGAGUGAGAAGACAAAGCCGUCAAAGCCCCAACAGCUUUUUCUCCAGCCCAGAGCAGACGCCGGAGCCCACUCCUUCCAUCUUUGGAACACACCAGUAAUUCACUAAUAACAGGUAAACUGAAUUGAGGGAAGGGCGGCAAGGGGCUGCAAAGAUAGAAGGGCAGCUGCUUCUGGUUAGGUUGAAGACCCUAAAUUAAGGAUAAGGUUUGGGGGACGGCUCAAGAGGAGAGAAGGGGGCGCUAUGAACAAUGAGUAGUUUUUUGGUCCCCUUGUCGUAUCUCUUUGCUAAGAUCUCCAUCCUUGCCUUCUAAUCCACAGACAUUAAUU
This 1439-nucleotide long non-coding RNA is filed under the name Zalophus californianus (California sea lion). RNAcentral describes it as "lncRNA (ENSZCAG00015002579.1)". The record is from RNAcentral. Lineage: Eukaryota; Metazoa; Chordata; Mammalia; Carnivora; Otariidae.